UACGUAGGGGGCAAGCGUUGUCCGGAAUCAUUGGGCGUAAAGAGCGUGUAGGCGGCCCGGUAAGUCCGUUGUGAAAGUCCAGGGCUCAACCCUGGGAUGCCGGUGGAUACUGUCGGGCUCGAGUCCGGAAGAGGAGUGUGGAAUUCCUGGUGUAGCGGUGAAAUGCGCAGAUAUCAGGAGGAACACCAAUGGCGAAGGCAGCUCGCUGGGACGUGACUGACGCUGAGACGCGAAAGCGUGGGGAGCAAACAGG
RNAcentral lists this ribosomal RNA (253 nucleotides) under uncultured bacterium. RNAcentral describes it as "partial 16S ribosomal RNA". It matches the Rfam family "Bacterial small subunit ribosomal RNA", at positions 524 to 776 of the family's 1533-position model. The record is from RNAcentral.